This 253-nucleotide ribosomal RNA is filed under the name uncultured bacterium. RNAcentral's name for it is "partial 16S ribosomal RNA". It matches the Rfam family "Bacterial small subunit ribosomal RNA", at positions 524 to 776 of the family's 1533-position model. The record is from RNAcentral.
UACGUAGGGGGCGAGCGUUGUCCGGAGUUACUGGGCGUAAAGGGCAUGCAGGCGGUCCGACACGUUUUGUGUGACAGCGGGUGGCUUAACUACCCGAGGAUACGAAAGACGGUUGGACUUGAGGACUCGAGAGGGACAUGGAAUUCCGGGUGGAGUGGUGAAAUGCGUAGAGAUCCGGAGGAACACCGAAGGCGAAGGCAGUGUCCUGGCGAGUGACUGACGCUGAGGUGCGAAAGCCAGGGGAGCGAACGGG